RNAcentral lists this ribosomal RNA (365 nucleotides) under uncultured bacterium. Its description in RNAcentral is "partial 16S ribosomal RNA". It matches the Rfam family "Bacterial small subunit ribosomal RNA", at positions 338 to 700 of the family's 1533-position model. The record is from RNAcentral.
CCUACGGGAGGCAGCAGUGAGGAAUAUUGGUCAAUGGGCGCGAGCCUGAACCAGCCAAGUAGCGUGAAGGAUGACGGCCCGACGGGUUGUAAACUUCUUUUAUAAAGGAAUAAAGUGAGGCACGUGUGCCUUUUUGUAUGUACCUUAUGAAUAAGGAUCGGCUAACUCCGUGCCAGCAGCCGCGGUAAUACGGAGGAUCCGAGCGUUAUCCGGAUUUAUUGGGUUGAACGGGAGCGUAGUUGGGUUGUUAAGUCAGUUGUGCAAGUUUGCGGCUCAACCGUAAAAUUGCAAUUGCUACUGGCAGUCUUGCGUACAGUUGCGGUCGGCGGCUUUCGUGGUGUAGCGGUGACCUGCUUCGAUCUCAC